GAGGGUAUAGCUCAGUGGCAGAGCGCGUGCUUAACAUGCAUGCACUAUGAGGGUUCAAUCCCCAGUGCCUCCA
Molecule: transfer RNA, 73 nt
Filed under: Camelus bactrianus (Bactrian camel)
Lineage: Eukaryota; Metazoa; Chordata; Mammalia; Artiodactyla; Camelidae
Also listed under: 1 other name
Rfam family: tRNA
About the family: Transfer RNA (tRNA) molecules are approximately 80 nucleotides in length. Their secondary structure includes four short double-helical elements and three loops (D, anti-codon, and T loops). Further hydrogen bonds mediate the characteristic L-shaped molecular structure. tRNAs have two regions of fundamental functional importance: the anti-codon, which is responsible for specific mRNA codon recognition, and the 3' end, to which the tRNAs corresponding amino acid is attached (by aminoacyl-tRNA synthetases). tRNAs cope with the degeneracy of the genetic code in two manners: having more than one tRNA (with a specific anti-codon) for a particular amino acid; and 'wobble' base-pairing, i.e. permitting non-standard base-pairing at the 3rd anti-codon position.
Source: Rfam by way of RNAcentral